UUCCUGUUUGAUUCCAUAAUGAAUGGCAAGAGCAGCUGGCUAAAAAGGUACUAAAGUGCCUGUGGAUUAUCCCAUAAAAGAAACUGAUGAGUUUUGUUUCUUCCCAAGCCAAACAAUUAUGGAUCAUGGUUAUGUAAAUAACAGAACUGGAUUUACAUACAUUUCAAUUUAACUGCUACAUCAUUUGUUGUUUUGUUUUUGUGGUGUGACUUUUUUUAAAAUUCAGUGCUGCUGUGGGUUCAAAAGGAGGAAGGGAUGUCACUUUUACAGGUUUCUGGCUUGCAUUUCACAGAAGCAAUGCUCACAGGUCUUUGCUCUGCCUUACAGGUGUUCCAGGCUCUAUAUGCUCUAUUUGGAAUGCUGCUCUUUGCUACCGAUCUGACGAGGACAGUAGCUGAGCUUGAAAGUCAACCAACAACCAACAAAAAAGUCACAAAGUCAAAGCUUGAAAGCCAACCAACAAAAAUGCAACGUUCUAUGGACUAUGCUGAGGCAGCACAAAGACUUGUCAUAUCUAUUGCUAUGAUCUUCUUCUUCACUUUGCUAUUAGUUGGUUGAACACACAACAAAGAUGAAUAUUUUGGCAAACAUCAGUUUCAGCAAAUGUCCUAAAGGAAGGUGCAUGACAGCUUGUUCGGGCAUUCUGGCAAGGUGAUUACAGGAUGGAUUUUCAUAUAAUAAACUUCCUAUAGAUGAGAAAGUAUCUUAAUGUUACGGGAUGUAUUUUCAUAUAAUAAUCUCCCUACAGGUGAAAUAUUUAUCUUACGGUAUUGUGUGAAAAAGUAUUAAGGAGGGGAGUGGGCAGCUGAGUGUGGUAUAAUGUAGAAUGUAUAUUUUGCCUUGCUCAUGAGAUAGUCUCACCACAAGGCUUAGGGUCAGACUCAUUAAUUAAUGAGUUAUGUUGCACGUAUUGCCAAAACUGAAAAUGAAAAACUUAUGGGGAAAUGAAAAAAUUCAAGGGGAAAAUGAAAAGCUUAUGGGGACUGCAGAGAAAGGAAGAGGGAAAAUAUUCGAGGGGGUCAUGACUGGUUACUGUGAAUAUCUUUUAAGGGUCAUUAUUUUUACUUUCUGAUGCUAGGUAAGUUGAAAAACUGGCAAAACAGAAAUCUGGAUAAAGUGAGAGAAAGGAAAAGGAAAAGUCAGGAGUGAGAUCACUUUAGGAUUAAUUACUGCAACAUCCUGAACAUGGGCACACAUCUGAAAUGUAUGUAGCAAAUUACAUAAGAAUUUGAGAUUUAACUCUGUAUUAGCAGUAUACAGCUAGUUUUGGAAGACUUUGAGCUAUUGACAAUAUCCCCUAACUUCAGUGCCUACUUCCCUUAAGGCUGAGGCUGUAAGCUGAAACAAAUAUAUCUCACUCCUGUUGUCAC
Molecule: long non-coding RNA, 1370 nt
Filed under: Anas platyrhynchos (mallard)
Lineage: Eukaryota; Metazoa; Chordata; Aves; Anseriformes; Anatidae
Description: lncRNA (ENSAPLG00020011280.1)
Source: RNAcentral